CACCGGCAGCUCUAGUGGUAGCUGUUUUUAUUGGGCCUAAAGCGUUCGUAGCCGGUUUAAUAAGUCUCUGGUGAAAUCCUAUAGCUUAACUGUGGGAAUUGCUGGAGAUACUAUUAGACUUGAGAUCGGGAGAGGUCAGAGGUACUCCUGGGGUAGGGGUGAAAUCCUGUAAUCCUAGGAGGACCACCUGUGGCGAAGGCGUCUGACUAGAACGAAUCUGACGGUGAGGAACGAAAGCUAGGGGCGCGAA
This 250-nucleotide ribosomal RNA is filed under the name uncultured prokaryote. RNAcentral's name for it is "partial 16S ribosomal RNA". It matches the Rfam family "Archaeal small subunit ribosomal RNA", at positions 474 to 723 of the family's 1478-position model. The record is from RNAcentral.